This 254-nucleotide ribosomal RNA is filed under the name uncultured bacterium. RNAcentral describes it as "partial 16S ribosomal RNA". It matches the Rfam family "Bacterial small subunit ribosomal RNA", at positions 524 to 776 of the family's 1533-position model. The record is from RNAcentral.
UACGUAGGGGGCGAGCGUUGUCCGGAUUUAUUGGGCGUAAAGAGCUCGUAGGCGGUUUGGUAAGUUGGAUGUGAAAUCUCCAGGCUCAACUUGGAGGGGUCAUUCGAUACUGCCAUGACUAGAGUUCGGUAGGGGAGUGUGGAAUUCCUGGUGGAGCGGUGAAAUGCGCAGAUAUCAGGAAGAACACCCGUGGCGAAGGCGGCUCUCUGGGACGGUACUGACGCUGAGACGCGAAAGCGUGGGGAGCGAACAGG